This 390-nucleotide ribosomal RNA is filed under the name uncultured bacterium. RNAcentral describes it as "bacterial SSU rRNA". It matches the Rfam family "Bacterial small subunit ribosomal RNA", at positions 29 to 405 of the family's 1533-position model. The record is from RNAcentral.
AACGAACGCUGGCGGCGUGGAUAAGACAUGCAAGUCGAACGGGACAACAUCUGUAGCAAUACAGGUGUUGUUUAGUGGCGAACGGGUGCGUAACACGUGGGCAAUCUGCCGAGAAGUGGGGGAUAGCUCGCCGAAAGGCGAAUUAAUACCGCAUAUGAUCAGUGAAGACAUCUUCACGACAUCAAAGCCGGGGCAACCUGGCGCUUCUUGAUGAGCCCGCGGCCUAUCAGCUAGUUGGUGAGGUAACGGCUCACCAAGGCUAUGACGGGUAGCUGGUCUGAGAGGACGACCAGUCACACUGGAACUGAGACACGGUCCAGACACCUACGGGUGGCAGCAGUCGAGAAUUUUUCUCAAUGGGGCAACCCUGAAGGAGCGACGCCGCGUGGA